GUAUGGAGGAAGAGUCCCAAACUAGGACGAAACAGCUGUCCAGUAC
Molecule: non-coding RNA, 46 nt
Filed under: Trichobilharzia regenti
Lineage: Eukaryota; Metazoa; Platyhelminthes; Trematoda; Strigeidida; Schistosomatidae
Source: RNAcentral